This 1499-nucleotide ribosomal RNA is filed under the name metagenome. Its description in RNAcentral is "bacterial SSU rRNA". It matches the Rfam family "Bacterial small subunit ribosomal RNA". The record is from RNAcentral.
GAGUUUGAUCAUGGCUCAGAUUGAACGCUGGCGGCAGGCCUAACACAUGCAAGUCGAACGGUAACAGGAAGCAGCUUGCUGCUUCGCUGACGAGUGGCGGACGGGUGAGUAAUGUCUGGGAAGCUGCCUGAUGGAGGGGGAUAACUACUGGAAACGGUAGCUAAUACCGCAUAAUGUCGCAAGACCAAAGAGGGGGACCUUCGGGCCUCUUGCCAUCGGAUGUGCCCAGAUGGGAUUAGCUUGUUGGUGGGGUAACGGCUCACCAAGGCGACGAUCCCUAGCUGGUCUGAGAGGAUGACCAGCCACACUGGAACUGAGACACGGCCCAGACUCCUACGGGAGGCAGCAGUGGGGAAUAUUGCACAAUGGGCGCAAGCCUGAUGCAGCCAUGCCGCGUGUAUGAAGAAGGCCUUCGGGUUGUAAAGUACUUUCAGCGGGGAGGAAGGGAGUAAAGUUAAUACCUUUGCUCAUUGACGUUACCCGCAGAAGAAGCACCGGCUAACUCCGUGCCAGCAGCCGCGGUAAUACGGAGGGUGCAAGCGUUAAUCGGAAUUACUGGGCGUAAAGCGCACGCAGGCGGUUUGUUAAGUCAGAUGUGAAAUCCCCGGGCUCAACCUGGGAACUGCAUCUGAUACUGGCAAGCUUGAGUCUCGUAGAGGGGGGUAGAAUUCCAGGUGUAGCGGUGAAAUGCGUAGAGAUCUGGAGGAAUACCGGUGGCGAAGGCGGCCCCCUGGACGAAGACUGACGCUCAGGUGCGAAAGCGUGGGGAGCAAACAGGAUUAGAUGCCCAGGUAGUCCACGCCGUAAACGAUGUCGACUUGGAGGUUGUGCCCUUGAGGCGUGGCUUCCGGAGCUAACGCGUUAAGUCGACCGCCUGGGGAGUACGGCCGCAAGGUUAAAACUCAAAUGAAUUGACGGGGGCCCGCACAAGCGGUGGAGCAUGUGGUUUAAUUCGAUGCAACGCGAAGAACCUUACCUGGUCUUGACAUCCACGGAAGUUUUCAGAGAUGAGAAUGUGCCUUCGGGAACCGUGAGACAGGUGCUGCAUGGCUGUCGUCAGCUCGUGUUGUGAAAUGUUGGGUUAAGUCCCGCAACGAGCGCAACCCUUAUCCUUUGUUGCCAGCGGUCCGGCCGGGAACUCAAAGGAGACUGCCAGUGAUAAACUGGAGGAAGGUGGGGAUGACGUCAAGUCAUCAUGGCCCUUACGACCAGGGCUACACACGUGCUACAAUGGCGCAUACAAAGAGAAGCGACCUCGCGAGAGCAAGCGGACCUCAUAAAGUGCGUCGUAGUCCGGAUUGGAGUCUGCAACUCGACUCCAUGAAGUCGGAAUCGCUAGUAAUCGUGGAUCAGAAUGCCACGGUGAAUACGUUCCCGGGCCUUGUACACACCGCCCGUCACACCAUGGGAGUGGGUUGCAAAAGAAGUAGGUAGCUUAACCUUCGGGAGGGCGCUUACCACUUUGUGAUUCAUGACUGGGGUGAAGUCGCAACAAGGUA